UAUUGCUCUUCAACGAGGAAUCCCUAGUAAGCACAAGUCAUCAGCUUGUGUUGAUUACGUCCCUGCCCUUUGUACACACCGCCCGUCGCUACUACCGAUUGAAUGGCUUAGUGAGACCCUCGGAUUGGUAUUCAGAAGCUUUAACCGGCAUCUGUUUGCUGAGAAGUUGGUCAAACUUGGUCAUUUAGAGGAAGUAAAAGUCGUAACAAGGUUUCCGUAGGUGAACCUGCGGAAGGAUCAUUAAUGAUUUUUAAAGCGAGUCGAGCGUUAAGCGAGGCUUGCGAAAUAUUUAAAACCCCACUCUUUUUAACCUUAAAAAAUAAAUCAUGAUACAUGAAUUUAAAAAAAAAGAUCACUUUCAACAACGGAUCUCUUGGCUCUCGCAUCGAUGAAGAACGCAGCGAAAUGCGAUAAGUAGUGUGAAUUGCAUAAUUUUGUGAAUCAUCGAAUCUUUGAACGCAAAUUGCACUCCCUGGUAUUCCGGGGAGUAUGCCUGUUUGAGGGUCGUUAGAAUAAAAAUCGAGGCGUCGCUCUUUUUUUAAGGGUGAUCGCGUCGGAAUUGAGCCGUCUUUCAAAUGUUAAUUCAUGUCAAAGUGGCUUAAAAUUCAUCCAUCCGGUACGAUUAAAGCGUAUUUAAGAUCAAUUUUGAUUAAGAACGCGCGAUGACGUACCAUCUCAUGUAGUACGUUUGACUUGGCGUCGUCAGGAUCAUUCGUAUACGAUACUCAACUUUUGACCUCAAAUCAGGUAAGAAUACCCGCUGAACUUAAGCAUAUCAAUAAGCGGAGGAAAAGAAAAUAACAAUGAUUCCCUCAGUAACGGCGAGCGAAGAGGGAUAAGCUCAAAUUUUAAAUCUGUUGGGUUCCACUUAACAGAGUUGUAUUUUGAAGAAACGUUUUCUGCAUCCAGGAUUAGCCUAAAUCCUUUGGGAUAAGGUAUCAUGGAGGGUGAGAAUCCCGUUCAUGGUUAUCUUAAGGAGCUCUACGAUACGUUUUCCAGAGUCGAGUUGUUUGGGAUUGCAGCUCAAAUGGGAGGUAAUUUCUCCUAAGCUAAUAUGGCGAGAGACGAUAGCGAACAGUACGUGAGGAAGAUGAAAGACUUGGAAAAGAGAGUACAGGUACGUGCAUGUGAAGGAACGAUUGAAGUCAGUCUACCAACGGCAAAUUCAACUUUUGGAGCCUUGCAUUGUGAUGUUUGAGACCGAGGAUUGCAACGGAUACCCUUCAGGGCUAUUCGUCUGAUCUCUGAUACGUUGCCUUGAUGUUGAAAGCUUGCUUAUGAUGUUAGGGUAUUACGGUCAAAAGGUUAGAACGAUUUACAUUCGUUAAGGAUGUUGACGUAAUGACUUUAAACGACCCGUCUUGAAACACGGACCAAGGAGUCUAACAUAUAUGCGAGUGUUC
This 1403-nucleotide ribosomal RNA is filed under the name uncultured Glomeromycotina. RNAcentral's name for it is "eukaryotic LSU rRNA". The stretch from base 734 to 1403 matches the Rfam family "Eukaryotic large subunit ribosomal RNA", at positions 1 to 695 of the family's 3401-position model. The record is from RNAcentral. Lineage: Eukaryota; Fungi; Glomeromycota.